This is an RNA transcript of Chroicocephalus ridibundus (black-headed gull), 9712 nucleotides long. It is a transcript of the gene named ankyrin repeat and sterile alpha motif domain containing 1A, with no coding region annotated. The transcript is spliced from 25 exons. The record is from RefSeq and is a predicted model, not a curated record. Lineage: Eukaryota; Metazoa; Chordata; Aves; Charadriiformes; Laridae.
GGGCGGCGGCGGCGGCCGGGCCGGGCCAUGGGGAAGGAGCAGGAGCUGCUGGAGGCCGCCCGCACCGGGAACCUGCCCGCCGUAGAGAAGCUGUUAUCGGGGAAACGCCUCAGCUCCGGUUUCGGUGGCUCCGGGGGUGAAAGAGGAGGAGGAGGCGGUGGUGGAGGAGGAGGAGGCGGCGGCUCCGGGGGGGGAGGCGGCGGAGGAGGCAGCGGGAGCGGCGGUGUGGGGCACCCGCUGUCCAGUCUCCUCAGCAUCUGGAGAGGGCCAAAUGUGAACUGCGUUGACAGUACUGGAUACACUCCACUGCACCAUGCUGCUUUGAAUGGUCAUAAGGAUGUGGUGGAAGUUCUGCUGAGGAACGACGCGCUAACCAACGUAGCAGACUGUAAAGGCUGUUACCCCCUUCACCUGGCAGCUUGGAAAGGAGACGCAGACAUAGUGAAGCUCCUCAUCCACCAGGGACCUUCGCAUACUAAAGUGAACGAGCAGAAUGCUCUUGAGAUCAAAGAACUCAAAAAGUACGGCCCCUUUGACCCAUAUAUCAAUGCCAAGAACAACGACAACGAGACGGCGCUGCACUGCGCCGCCCAGUACGGCCACACCGAGGUGGUGAAGGUCCUGCUGGAGGAGCUGACCGACCCCACCAUGCGCAAUAACAAGUUUGAGACUCCUCUGGACCUGGCUGCGCUCUAUGGGAGGCUGGAAGUCGUGAAGAUGCUCUUGAACGCUCACCCCAAUCUCUUAAGCUGCAACACUAAGAAACAUACUCCUCUGCACUUGGCGGCCAGGAAUGGUCACAAAACUGUGGUCCACGUCCUCCUGGAUGCUGGCAUGGAUAGCAACUAUCAGACUGAAAAAGGCAGUGCUUUGCACGAAGCUGCUUUGUUUGGCAAGACAGAUGUGGUACAAAUAUUGCUGGCUGCAGGUAUUGAUGUGAACAUAAAGGAUAACAGAGGCCUGACAGCUCUGGAUAUUGUGAGGGAACUUCCUUCUCAGAAAAGCCAACACAUAGCAGCUCUCAUCGAAGAUUACACCAUUGGGAAGAAAAGUGCCAAAGCUGCGGAGAAGACUGUUCCAGCACCGCUUGUUCCAGCCGCUGAUCCCAUGUGCCGGAUAUCUCAGGGUGACGUGGAGAAAGCGGUUACAGAACUGAUCCUAGAUUUUGAUGUGAACCCCGAAGAGGAGAGCCCCUAUGAAGCUUUAUACAACGCAACGUCCUGCCACUCCCUGGACAGCCUUGCCAGUGGGAGAUCUUCCGAUCGAGAGUCCGUCAAUAAGGAAGCGGAAUCAGCCGGUCUCAAAGCAGCAGGAGUCAGGCCUAGAGAGCGUCCACCCCCGCCUGCCAAGCCACCACCCGAUGAAGAGGAGGAGCAGCACGUGGAGAAGAAGAUAGGCCAUGGUGCUUCCUGUGAGGUCUCUGUUGCACGAGGAAAGAGCAAGGGAAGUGGAGCUGAGGAAGAGGAACACCCUUACGAGCUGUUGCUCACAGCAGAAACGAAAAAGCCCGUUGCGGUGGAUAGGAAAACAAAAGACCACAGGAGGAGCAGUGGCAGCCGCAGCCAGGACUCUGCCGACGGCCAGGACAUCCAGGUUCCAGAGCAGUUUUCAGGGUUGCUUCACGGUUCUUCCCCGAUCUGUGAGAUAAGUGAGGACCCUUUCAGGCUUGUUUCCUCCGCCGAGAAAGGAGGGACGGAAGCUACCGCCCACCCACCUGCUAUGCAGCUGGAGGAUGCUGACUUACCUGCCUCUGCGUCGGUACGGACCAGCUCUCCGGACCAAAACCAGAAAGUGGUCUACGCAACCGUCCAGCACACGCACGUCACCCGGGCGGAUCCUGAAACUGUAGUCACGCCCCACGUGCUGCAGCACCCCGGCGGUGCCGAGGAAGAGGGGGACAGAGCUGUGGGCAGAGCCCACCCGGGGAGCAAGCCCAAAGCCGAGCUUAAACUCAGCCGCAGCUUGUCCAAAUCGGACUCUGAUCUUCUGACCUGCUCUCCAACAGAGGACGAUGCCAUGGGGAGCCGGAGCGAAUCGCUCUCCAAUUGCAGCACUGGGAAGAAGAGGCUGGAGAAGUCCCCAUCCUUCGCUUCGGAGUGGGAUGAGAUUGAGAAAAUCAUGAGUUCCAUCGGCGAAGGCAUCGACUUUUCCCAGGAGCAGCAGAGGAUCUCAGGUUCGCGGAUGCUGGAGCAGAGUGUCGGGGAGUGGCUGGAGUCCAUUGGCCUGCAGCAAUACGAGAGUAAGCUGCUUUUGAACGGCUUUGAUGAUGUCCGCUUCCUGGGCUGUAAUGUCAUGGAAGACCAGGACCUUCGGGACAUCGGGAUCGGUGACCCGCAGCACCGUCGGAAGCUCCUCCAGGCUGCUCGCUCCCUCCCCAAGUUGAAACCCCUGGGCUGCGAUGGGAACAGCCAGCCUUCGGUUCCCGCCUGGCUCGACUCUUUGGGGCUGCAGGAUUACAUCCAGUCCUUCCUAUCGAGUGGCUACAGCUCUAUUGACACUGUGAAAAACCUCUGGGAGCUUGAAAUAGUAAAUGUGCUGAAAGUGAAUCUGCUCGGCCAUCGGAAGAGGAUCAUCGCCUCCCUGGCAGACAGACCCUACGAGGAGCCACCGGCAAAGCCACCGCGGUUCUCGCAGCUGAGAUGCCAGGAUUUGAUGUCCCAGACGUCGUCGCCCCUGAGCCAGAACGACUCCUGCACGGGCAGAUCCGCCGAUCUCCUGCUGCCCUCCGGGGACACCGGGAAGAGGCAACACGACCGUGGCACCGAGGUCGCUCCGUACUCCAGAGCUGAGCGCUACAAAGCACAGGAGGACCGUCGGGAGUCGAAGCUGACCCUGCGCCCCCCCAGCCUGGCUGCCCCGUACGCCCCAGUCCAAAACUGGCAGCAUCAGCCGGAGAAGCUCAUCUUUGAGUCCUGCGGGUACGAGGCCAACUACUUGGGCUCCAUGUUGAUCAAAGACCUCCGAGGGACAGAGUCUACGCAGGACGCCUGUGCCAAGAUGAGGAAAUCCACAGAGCAUAUGAAGAAGAUCCCGACCAUAAUACUGUCCAUCACGUACAAGGGGGUGAAGUUCAUCGAUGCCUCUAACAAGAAUGUCAUUGCUGAGCACGAGAUCCGGAACAUCUCCUGCGCUGCUCAGGACCCCGAGGAUCUCUGCACGUUCGCCUACAUCACCAAGGACCUGCAGACCAGCCACCACUACUGCCACGUCUUCAGCACUGUGGAUGUGAACCUGACGUACGAGAUCAUCCUCACGUUGGGGCAGGCGUUCGAGGUCGCCUACCAGCUGGCCCUCCAAGCCCAGCGAGCGAAGCCUCUGGGCGCUGCAGCAGGAGAAACGAUUGAAACAAAAUCUUCCAAACCGGUGCCUAAACCGCGAGCCGGCAUGAGGAAAUCCGCACUGGAGCCCCCUGAAGUGGACCAAGACUCCCAGUCUCAUGCCAGCGUCUCCUGGGUCGUGGACCCCAAACAGGACUCCAAGCGGACCCUCAGCACUAAGUAUGAGACCACUAUCUUCUAAAGCAAACACACCCCGCGUCCACCUAGUCUAACCGUGCCUUUGCGAUCUGAUCUGUCUGCUGUUCUAAACUCCCUCUUCCUCCAGCUGCUCGCACUGAGCCCCGCGUAGGCACUACGUCAAAGGCAGCAGCACUUAGGAGACUGUAGACUUAAACGGCUUUUGUACCUGAUCACUACUGAACACUGUGAAUUCUCCUUACUCGGAAACAAGGGUAACACGCUGUUAGAUAUCUGUGAGGUGGGAGGUGCAGAGGGAUGCAGGCUGGGGGAAUCGGAGGUGCGGAUCCAGGAAGCCGCCUGCCGUUUUCACGUCUUUCCCCUCGCUCUGGCACUGUGAAUCCCUGGGGCAAGGUGACACUCCCCAGGCCUUUUUUUCUAUUUCACCUUCUUAUCCUUGGACUGAUGGAGACCUCUUGUCUCUGCGGUGCACGCACUCCCUCCUCCUAGAUCCUCCUCUUCCCGACUGAGCCACGGCUGCGUACUGUUCCAGUGAACUCACCCCUGCUCUUACCUGCCAUUCGAAUCGACACUAACCACUGUGAUGCUCUCUGCAAAUAACACGCGUUCACUAGAUUUCCUCACCGGGACCCUUGCCCACAGUCUCUCCCCUCGAAGCCUGGAGCAGAAAACCUGCUCUGACGGGAGCACCGCUUUGGGCCGGGUGUGAUCGUUGCCACUGUGAGCUCUGUCCCCUCUCAGAGACGAGGCGCGGUUCUGGUUGCACGCAUUUCAGUCCUUUGUAGGGUUUUCCCCCCCGCCCCGUAGUCCUUCUGUUUGCACUCGCCAAACUUCUCGUGAGCUCUGGCCGUAGUUCUCACUUGGCAGAUUGUAAAGAGGUUGAGCUUUUGAAGGCACAUGUUGUUAGCCCCGUGUUGGGGAGGGUGUUUGAGAGGGGGCUGGAUGCUGCGCGGGUAGGGGUCUGAUAAAGCAGACGGAGCUCUGCCGUGCUCAGCAGGCUUCCUGCCGUUGUACUUCUUUUGCCGGAGGGAGAAACGUGAUUGAAAUCAGUCUGCUGCCGAUCCCAAAGCUUGUUUUCAGUCUACAAACCAUGAGGGCUAUAGGGAUCUUGAAACAUCUGUCACCUCCCGUCCUUGAGAGCGAGGAUUUCACUUAGAGAUGGCUCUGCAAUGGGCACCUCUGCCUUUUCUGGCUGCUUCUCAAGGGCGUGUGGUUUUCCUGUGAGAGAACGUCCCCGUUUCUGUGUAUCUCAGUAGAAGCAGCUUUUAAUUCCAGAAUAUGACUGGGAAUCAUUUGCAUGAGAUCGCAGGGUGCUUGGCGCAGGUCGGAGCGGGGCCAGGACAGGUCUGGGAAUGCCACACAGCAGUUCGCCACCCCAUGAAAGCCCCAGCGAGACGUCCAGGGUCCUACCCCUGGUUCCUUCGCUUGCGCUCGCAAACCUCAGAGAUGAAAUCAAGGAGGAGGAGGAGUAUGGUCUGAUAAAUCACGGCGCUGGGAGGCAGGACUCCUGCCCCGGUGUGGCUUCUCCCUGACUUGCUGUGCAUCCAAGCAGCUUCGCCUCUCUUUACCUGUUUCCCCGUGGGGAGGGGACAUAAUUACCUUCCUCUCGGGGGGGAGAGGCUCGCCCCGUUUGCGGAGCGGUUUUAAGACCCUUUAGUGAAAGGCGCUGCAACUUCCACACCGUGGCAGCAAACCCCCGGUUUUGGAGAGGCGGUGGUGACGGUGGGUGGGUGUUGGAGAGCUGGGAGGAGAGGUGGACGGCAGCUCCCCUCUGGGUGGAGACCUCAGACAUCACCGGGGGAGAGUGCUCGGAUCUCCGGUAAAGCUCCAUUUCCAAAACAGCUUUUAGAAUUUACCCGAGAUGUCCCUUCGCGUUCACCAGUUGGUCAGAAGAGCAGCCCUGGGUUAUUUGCACCUGGGAUUGAGGGGUGAGCAGCUUACCGCGGUUCUGCUGGGGCUUUAGAGCAGUGGCCUCAAAGCUUCAGUUUCCCCAUUCUUGGCGGUGAAAUCUGAUGUUUCAAAAUCUUUAUUUAGCUCUUUCUCAGGAAUGAGUUUGAUCUCCCAAGUUAUCUGUGGCUUAAUGGCACUGAGCAGCAAACUGAGUUCAAAAAAGGGCCAGGCCAGUAAGAACCCAAGCGAGAGGACUAAAAGGAUUGUCUUAAAACAAAAGAAAAAAACAACCCCAAAGGAAAGCUCAGUCUAGUACAUAUAUUUCAUAUGCCACAGAGCCCCUUCCCAUAGAGCCGGUGCUCCUCUGGCUACGGGCCCCCGCAGCAGGGGUCGCGCUGCGGUUGCCCGGAGUGCCGCAGUUGCGGCCAGCAGAAUAUUGCUGCGUCUGAGCUGCUCCGAGAGGUUGGGUUUGGGGUUGAUCAGCGUCUCUCCGAGCUAUAAGAGGGCCCUUCAAAGAGAAACUGGAUUAACAGUAGCGAUGGUAGCGCAGUUUCUGUGUGUAAGCGUUUACCGUGCAGUUGCCCAUGCGUACGCCUGACUUCAGAGGGUCUGAGCUCUCGUAUCUCCCCUCUCUCGGCGGCGCGGGGCAGGUUCCUCAGCCCCACCAAAACGGGUCACUAGAGCAUGUGCCUUUCGAAGGGUGACCGUCCAAACCCAGCUGGGCUCACAGGCAGGCCCUGCCUCAACUACAGAGCUUCCGCUGCGUGUCCAUAACCCCUCCCGGUUGCGUCUCGUCUCCUCCUGGCCGUACGCCUCGUCUUUCCCAGCGCUCGUUUUCGGUAUGACUCGGAAAUCAUUCAUUCCAUUAUCUUCCUUUCUGUUUGCCUCUGAAAAGCUGAUCUCCGGGCAGCUGUCUCCUACCACGGAAAUGUAGUAACGGGGCAGAGACCUCAGAAGCAGUGGCCUGCUGACGCGAAGAUCAUCUCCAUCUGGUGUCUGCCUCGGAGCGGGGGCUCAGUGGGGGCUCCCAAAGCAGAGGGGGGAGAGGGAUCCCGGCCACCGGCUGAGCAAAGCAGCUCUCUCCAUUUCUAGCAAAGGAAAAGUUGAGACUUCCGAGAGCGAUGUCACCUUUUCUAUUUAAGACAAGCGUCUUUCAACCCAUUUAUUUUUAUUUUUUUUUAACGCGUGAGCAAAUCCAGUUCACGGUUUAAAUGUAGCACUGCAGGUUUUUUGGUGAGGAAAAACACAAAACUACACGUAUUUCCUGAGAAUCCCCGCAGUCUGGCAAGGAGUACGAUAGAAAGUCUUAGCAGUGGGAGUGGUGCGCCCAUCUCUAACGGUACUUAAAUUUGCUUCAGUUCUGGGUGAACAGUAGAGAACGCCAAAUUCUUGGAAAUAACUUCCUCCAGUGUGAGAAGCCUUGCAGGGUAAGUCCGCAGCCUUUCUUUUCAAAGCUACUCCGCGCUUUUAGAGCAAACGGAAAUAACUUAAGGAAAAGAAUCUGCAAAGGAUCUUUCACCCCAGAGUGGUUGUGGCCAAGUAUUCCCGAUGGUACAAAGCUCGCUUCCCCUACAGAGACCUGUCGCGUUGCAAUACUUGACAUUUCUAUGGCAAGGACACAAUUUCUUCCCAUUUACGCACUGAACACCUGGAGACGCCGCCCUUUCUCCAGCCUCUCGUGCACCUGACUCGUUUUUAAAUGCAGUUAUGCCCUGAAGGGUUGGGGUUGUUUUGUUUUUAUUUUUAAAGUAUAUUCGAUUGUGAUUUAGCACUUUUUUUGAUACUAGCUCAUUAUUUAAUUAGUGCAACAGUUUCAGAAGAUGAACAAAUAAGGAGUUAAAUUUUGGGCAUUACACUGAAACAGUCCGUACCUGAGGAUAAAUCAUAUCAACCUGAGGAUGGCUUGGCCCCCGUCAAAGUCCAGUGUCCCCAGAUGCCACCCUCUCAAAGGUGCUGUGUGCUUGCUUUUCUUUCGAAUUACCAGAGUAUUUUAACAGUAGUUUUGGCUGUGACUGAUGUGUUUUCGCAGUACCGUUCCCCUCGAGGGAGAGGUGCUAAAAUGGUUGUGACUUUGGAAUUCUUCAGACGCAAAAAUGUAGCGCAGCACGUUUGUUCUAAUCUCGACAGGCGGCGUCGUGGUUGGGGAUGUGGUACCCUGCUGCUUUACUAGAACGAUAUGCCCAAAUAAUUUCUGUUUUAACUCCAGUUGCUGCUGUAUGUCAGGAUUUCAUUUAGUCUCUCUGGCCAGUAAGGCUGGGGGAGAAGUGAACCGUAAUCCCAAGGGCAUAGACCUGUAAAUGAUUAGAAGGGGGAAGUGGAGAUUUUUUUUUUUAUUUUUUUUUUUUAAGUUGAUGAAUUUAGGAAACCUAACAUUCCUUGUUAUGCAUAUGUUGCAAUUCAUACUGGUGUAAGUGUAAAUAUUUGGUGUGUUGGCAACAAGUCUUUUUGGAGAGAUUGCAAAUUGAACCUCUGCUUGGGAGGAGGGACACCUUUCUUUCUUUUUUUUUUUUCUCUUUUUUUUUUUUUCUCUUUUUUUUUUUUUCUAAUUUUUUUGAUGCAUGAGCUUUUUGAAGGUUGGCUUGGAGGUGAAGUGGUGAUGAAGACUCCAAUCUUCAGAGGACUGGGCUGACCCUGGUGGUCCUUCCCAGUCCCGCGCGUAAUCCUAUGGUUGUCUUUAGUGAUCCAGCAGUUCUUUAGCCAGAUACUCUCUUUCUCACUUCAUAGACAAGGCAAUUGUUUUGGCAACGCAUCUCCCCUUUUAUUUCCGUGGGUUUUUCUCAAGGUGCUCUCGUGCUGGAGACCGACCCUGGACCAGUCGUGCCAGUCACCGACUCCCAGUAACCCGUUAACCCAUCGCACAGUGUUCUGGCUCUUCCUCCCUACAGGGUUUUGUGGUAUCUGGAGGAAAGUGCCCUAAAUCUCUGGUGCUGAAUAGGACUUGGAAUCAAAACGCAUCUGCUGUAUUACCUGCCUGGGAAAAAGUGGUGCUGCCCUGGGCCUCGUUCCCCUUUUUAAGGACGGAUUGUAUUUUCCAGACUCUGGUCUGUGCAUGGCAUGAGUCCAGGCCGAGAACUCAAGAGAAGUAAACCAAGAUGCGGAGUUGUCUUUUUUUUUUUUUUUUUUUAUAUAGGAGGGGAUGAUUAUUUUUUUUCCAAAUUGAAGCUGCUUUAUCCUUUUUAAUUUUGUAUUUACAAAAAAAAAAAAAAAAAAGGCUAAUCUUAGCUGUUCAGCUAUCUUUGAACUUGCUUUGGGAUUGUUCUUUUUAGAAGAAAUUAUGCAACUCUUGUGGGGUACGUGCCCGUCCCCCUCCCAGGGAGAAGAUACGGCACCAGGAUGUACCUCGAGUGAAAAAGUUUGUACCUUCACCAGGCUGCUGAGACACAGACCAGAUGCCAAAUAGUCCCCCCCCUCGAACACCCCGCGUUCUGUGUGCAGCUGAAGUGGAGUCAGUCGCUUUAACGCUCCUUUCGCCCCACUUCAGAAGUUUCUAGCAGCAGAAUUUCCCCUGGCUUUCUUCUGCUCGCAUCAUUUCCACGCAAUCAGAUCUUUAUCUUAGAGCAAGCCCCGUGUUUGCAACGCUGUCUUUGUUGCAAAAGGUCUCCCUUUUAGGUCUCAUAUUGGCAUUACUUACUGCAUUGUUUAUAUUUUUUUUUUUUUUUCCAAAAGGAAGUAACUGUGCUGCUCUUGCAAAGUUAAUCUAGCUCAAACUUUUUUUUUCUUUUUUUUUUUUACCCAUGGAAGAAUAACCUGAGAUUCCCUAACAGGGCAGAGAACAGUCAAGUUCAGUUUGCAAUGUAGACAUUUUUGCUAAUUGUGAUGUAUGGCAGUGGGACUGAUUUGUAAUACAAAUGUUAUUUAAUCUGUCUGUAUUUUGAUACUUGAAUUUCCUUUUAUUUCCUGUAUAUACAAUUGUUAAUCUGUUCAAAAUUUGUCUGAAUUUUAAACAUCUUGUGGUACCAAACAUAACCAAUCUGUGCAACAACAUAGACUGACCUCACUACAACAAGGCGAGAUUGUAAAUAUUCCUGGGCUUCCAGCAGUCGUUUUGUUGUUUUCAUAAUUGUCCAACUUAGAACAGACUGAAUUAAUAAACAGACUUAGACACACAUUUACCCCGUUGUCACUGUGACCUCAGCGUCAGUCCGAAGUCUCCUGGUCGUCCGGGUUAAAGCAAUGCUGUUCUCGUCCUCGUCUGCCAGACCUGACCUGGGAAGUAGCAGUCCUGGUCCCGGUGGAUUUGUCUGAUUGAUCUUUACAAGCUGAAGCAUGAUUUGAGAAGCUGUUGGAGAACACGUUCCACCCCUGGCCGGCGCAUGCUGAAGACGAUCAGAAAGAAUCCAUCCCUG